RNAcentral lists this ribosomal RNA (528 nucleotides) under uncultured bacterium. RNAcentral's name for it is "partial 16S ribosomal RNA". It matches the Rfam family "Bacterial small subunit ribosomal RNA", at positions 355 to 900 of the family's 1533-position model. The record is from RNAcentral.
UGGGGAAUAUUGGACAAUGGGGGCAAUCCUGAUCCAGCAAUGCCGCGUGUGUGAAGAAGGUCUUCGGAUUGUAAAGCACUUUCGACGGGGACGAUGAUGACGGUACCCGUAGAAGAAGCCCCGGCUAACUUCGUGCCAGCAGCCGCGGUAAUACGAAGGGGGCUAGCGUUGCUCGGAAUGACUGGGCGUAAAGGGCGUGUAGGCGGUUUACACAGUCAGAUGUGAAAUCCCCGGGCUUAACCUGGGAGCUGCAUUUGAUACGUGUAGACUAGAGUGUGAGAGAGGGUUGUGGAAUUCCCAGUGUAGAGGUGAAAUUCGUAGAUAUUGGGAAGAACACCGGUGGCGAAGGCGGCAACCUGGCUCAUGACUGACGCUGAGGCGCGAAAGCGUGGGGAGCAAACAGGAUUAGAUACCCUGGUAGUCCACGCUGUAAACGAUGUGUGCUAGAUGUUGGGUAACUUUGUUAUUCAGUGUCGCAGUUAACGCGUUAAGCACACCGCCUGGGGAGUACGGCCGCAAGGUUGAAAC